RNAcentral lists this ribosomal RNA (461 nucleotides) under uncultured bacterium. RNAcentral's name for it is "partial 16S ribosomal RNA". It matches the Rfam family "Bacterial small subunit ribosomal RNA", at positions 338 to 795 of the family's 1533-position model. The record is from RNAcentral.
CCUACGUGAGGCAGCAGUGAGGAAUAUUGGUCAAUGGGCGGAAGCCUGAACCAGCCAAGUCGCGUGAGGGAUUAAGGCCCUGCGGGUCGUAAACCUCUUUUGCCGGGGAGCAGUGGUCCGGACGCGUCCGGACCGGGAGAGUACCCGGAGAAAAAGCAUCGGCUAACUCCGUGCCAGCAGCCGCGGUAAUACGGAGGAUCCGAGCGUUAUCCGGAUUUAUUGGGUUUAAAGGGAGCGUAGAUGGGUUGUGAAGUCAGUUGGGAAAGUUUGCGGCUCAACCGUAAAAUUGCAAUUGAUACUGGGAGUCUUGAGUACAGUUGAGGUAGGCGGAAUUCGUGGUGUAGCGGUGAAAUGCUUAGAUAUCACGAAGAACCCCGAUUGCGAAGGCAGCUUACUAGACUGUGACUGACAUUGAUGCUCGAAAGUGUGGGUAUCAAACAGGAUUAGAUACCCCAGUAGUC